Molecule: ribosomal RNA, 357 nt
Filed under: uncultured bacterium
Lineage: Bacteria
Description: partial 16S ribosomal RNA
Rfam family: Bacterial small subunit ribosomal RNA
Source: RNAcentral
CCUACGGGCGGCAGCAGUGGGGAAUAUUGCGCAAUGGGCGAAAGCCUGACGCAGCGACGCCGCGUGAGGGAUGAAGGUCUUCGGAUCGUAAACCUCUGUCAGCAGGGAAGAACGGUCACUGUGCUAAUCAGCAGUGAAUUUACGUUACCUGCAAGGGAAGCACCGGCUAAAUCCGUGCCAGCAGGCGCGGUAAUACGGAGGGUGCGAGCGUUAAUCGGAAUUACUGGGCGUAAAGCGCUCGUGGGCGGUAUGUCAAGUCAAGGGUGAAAUCCCCGCGCUCAACGUGGGAACUGCCUUUGAAACUGGCAGACUCGAGUGUGUGAGAGGAUAGUGGAAUUACAGGUGUAGGAGUGAAAU